Molecule: ribosomal RNA, 1129 nt
Filed under: Arenibacter echinorum
Lineage: Bacteria; Pseudomonadati; Bacteroidota; Flavobacteriia; Flavobacteriales; Flavobacteriaceae
Description: bacterial SSU rRNA
Rfam family: Bacterial small subunit ribosomal RNA
Source: RNAcentral
UGGUACUGAGACACGGACCAGACUCCUACGGGAGGCAGCAGUGAGGAAUAUUGGACAAUGGGCGGGAGCCUGAUCCAGCCAUGCCGCGUGCAGGAAGACGGUCCUAUGGAUUGUAAACUGCUUUUGUACGGGAAGAACAAGGGGCACGUGUGCCCCUCUGACGGUACCGUAAGAAUAAGGAUCGGCUAACUCCGUGCCAGCAGCCGCGGUAAUACGGAGGAUCCGAGCGUUAUCCGGAAUCAUUGGGUUUAAAGGGUCCGUAGGCGGGCCAUUAAGUCAGGGGUGAAAGUCUGCGGCUCAACCGUAGAAUUGCCCUUGAUACUGGUGGUCUUGAGUUAUGGUGAAGUAACUAGAAUAUGUAGUGUAGCGGUGAAAUGCAUAGAUAUUACAUAGAAUACCGAUUGCGAAGGCAGGUUACUAACCAUAUACUGACGCUGAUGGACGAAAGCGUGGGGAGCGAACAGGAUUAGAUACCCUGGUAGUCCACGCCGUAAACGAUGGAUACUAGCUGUCCGGAUGCAAAUCUGGGCGGCCAAGCGAAAGUGAUAAGUAUCCCACCUGGGGAGUACGUCCGCAAGGAUGAAACUCAAAGGAAUUGACGGGGGCCCGCACAAGCGGUGGAGCAUGUGGUUUAAUUCGAUGAUACGCGAGGAACCUUACCAGGGCUUAAAUGUGGUCUGACAGCUUUAGAGAUAGAGCCUCCUUCGGGCAGAUCACAAGGUGCUGCAUGGUUGUCGUCAGCUCGUGCCGUGAGGUGUCAGGUUAAGUCCUAUAACGAGCGCAACCCCUGCCGUUAGUUGCCAGCAUGUAAAGAUGGGGACUCUAACGGGACUGCCGGUGCAAACCGCGAGGAAGGUGGGGAUGACGUCAAAUCAUCACGGCCCUUACGUCCUGGGCCACACACGUGCUACAAUGGCCGGUACAGAGAGCAGCCACUGGGCAACCAGGAGCGAAUCUAUAAAACCGGUCACAGUUCGGAUCGGGGUCUGCAACUCGACCCCGUGAAGCUGGAAUCGCUAGUAAUCGGAUAUCAGCCAUGAUCCGGUGAAUACGUUCCCGGGCCUUGUACACACCGCCCGUCAAGCCAUGGAAGCCGGGAGUGCCUGAAGUCCGUCACCGCAAGGAGCGG